Long non-coding RNA from Vulpes vulpes (red fox), 1212 nucleotides. The record is from Ensembl. Lineage: Eukaryota; Metazoa; Chordata; Mammalia; Carnivora; Canidae.
GUUUUGAAUUUGCCUGACAGAUGGUCAAAUGUUGUUAUUCAGCACGUGGGGCUCUGCACACUAAGACCGAAUGUCCUUUCCCUGUCCAAGAAAUUUGAAAGUUCCUGUCACCUUCCUAUCUACCAAGAAAAUGCAUACAAGCCAACACAGCAUGGAUAAGGACGUGUAUAGUUCCAAGAGCUACUACAUCCAUCUAGGAGGAGGAAAUUAGAGCAUCAUGGGGAGAGCAGUUCUGGCAAGGGAGCAUGGUAUAGGGAAAUGGCUCAGUGUCCCCUCCCCUCAAAAAAGAAGGUCCUUGGUAUUUCUGGAUGUGAAUGAUAUAGAUUCAAAGACAAUAAAAUGAGUUUGGAGAAGUAAAUGAAGUAAAGAGCCUGGUAUAUUGGGCAAAGGCCACAGGGACACUUUCAGUGAUUUUUAAGUGGGGGAUUAUUUGAUCAGGUUUUCAUUUUAAAGGCAUUGUUCUAGUGGGUUAUGUGGAGGUGGAACUGGGAUUGGAAUGAGGAGUGUUUCAAUUAGCAUUCUUUGUAUUGUAAGUAAUAGAAAGUCAAAUUCAAAUCGGAUUCAAUAACAAGGGAAUUUAUUGACACAUGUAAGUGGAAUGUUUAGAGAUAGCAAGGUAGGUUUGACUCCACAGCUGAAUGACAUCACCAAGGAAAAAUUUUUUUCCAACUCUGCCUUCCAGGGUGUUUCCACUACUUCCUGGCUGCAGGAUGGCUGCCAACAGCUCCCAGGACUAUCUACUUCAUUUCCUAUGAUCAGAGUGAGAAAAUAGAGACAUAAAGAGCACCUCUCACUGAAACCAAAAUUUUGAUCGUCCAUGCCCACUGAACCAGCCACUGGAUGGAAGAAGAUAGAACUAUUCUGAUUGACCAAUUCCAUCUAGAUUUCUCAGAGGCUAGGAGAUGGUGUUACUUCAACCUAGGGGUCCCAGUUCCUCACACCUGGACCAUCUUCAACAUAUAUCUUCCAAGAUGGCUUUGAUUUUUGCCAUUCUCAUCCUUAGGAAGGGGGAAAAUGCAUGCAUUUCCCUGUGUGAGCACAGGACAGCUUAUUGGCCAGCCCAGAAAGACAGCCAAGAGCCAAGUUCACAUCCUAGCCAUACAUUUGGAAGUCCGGAUCCUACCCACAUAAUUUAGGCACCUGAAUGAUAGAUAGUCUUACGUCUUGUAGUCUUUGAAUAAAAGGGGUGCAAAAGUAGCUCUUGUAAGUACC